UUACAUCUUCCUGAGGAUAGAGCCUACAUAGAAGUUCAGCAAAUAUCUGGUCUUUUCCACACCUGGGAAGAUGUGGGUAUAGGCCACUAUGUGUUUUCCUUUCAAAAUGACAUCAGUGCUCCUGGUUGUUGGGCCUUUGGGGCUGGACUGGAACUACACCACUGGCUUUCCUGGGCCUCCAGCUUGUAGAUUGUAGAUCACGGGACUUUUCAGCCUCCAUAAUCACGUAAGCUUAUCCCUCAUAAUAAAUCUCUUGCUAUGUAUCUGUGUACAGUUGAUCUUUGAGCAACAAAGGUUUGAACUGAUGGAUCCACUUAUAAGUGGAUUUUCUUCUGCCUCUGCACCCCUGGAGCAACAAGAC
This 361-nucleotide long non-coding RNA is filed under the name Homo sapiens (human). RNAcentral describes it as "HSALNT0078411". Lineage: Eukaryota; Metazoa; Chordata; Mammalia; Primates; Hominidae. The record is from RNAcentral.